UGCUUCAACACGGGGAGCCCGGGGCACCGGGCUGAGAGGAGGGCUGAGGCUGCCCUCGACCCGCUGAACCUGAUCCGGGUAAUGCCGGCGGAGGGAGAAAUCACACGGCUUGCG
Regulatory RNA element from Bellilinea caldifistulae, 114 nucleotides. It matches the Rfam family "TPP riboswitch aptamer (THI element)". Rfam says of the family: Vitamin B(1) in its active form thiamin pyrophosphate (TPP) is an essential coenzyme that is synthesised by coupling of pyrimidine and thiazole moieties in bacteria. Lineage: Bacteria; Bacillati; Chloroflexota; Anaerolineae; Anaerolineales; Anaerolineaceae. The record is from Rfam.